AGGAAUAACCAAAAGGGUGUAAGAGAUGUUAGUAAAAACCCCCUUUGGUGGCCGGCCUUUGUGGUUCAAGAUGGCUAUUUUCUUUUGCCUCUUUUGUUGUUCAAAACUCACAAAAACCCUAAUGAACUUUAUCUCUAUAAAGUUGCUUAUAUAGACAAAAAGAAAACCUAGUCAACACUUGACUAAAUAUCUCACCUUUCCUCACCUAAAGUGGCCGGCCCCUUUGUGUUGUUUUUGGGCUUUGGGCUUUUGUUAUUUCAAGUCAUCCAAUGCUUGAAUAAAAGCCCAAUGGGUUUAGGCCCAAUGGGCCUAAUUAAACCCGAACGU
This 327-nucleotide long non-coding RNA is filed under the name Malus domestica (apple). RNAcentral's name for it is "long non-coding RNA (MDOM_LNC019510)". Lineage: Eukaryota; Viridiplantae; Streptophyta; Magnoliopsida; Rosales; Rosaceae. The record is from RNAcentral.